Long non-coding RNA from Chelonia mydas (Green sea turtle), 1230 nucleotides. RefSeq lists it as uncharacterized. Lineage: Eukaryota; Metazoa; Chordata; Testudines; Cheloniidae. The transcript is spliced from 2 exons. The record is from RefSeq and is a predicted model, not a curated record.
GCCAGGGGCACCCCUGGGAAGUGGUACUCCACGUACAGCUGCUGGAUGUGUUCACAGGCCACGGCCUCAGGGUGCAGACUCAGAGAGACUAUCUCAAUGCGGAUCCACUCCAUGUCCUGACAAGAUGAGGGACCCUGCUUUGCAGCUGGAUGGCCGUGUUGCCCUCCCUCACCACUGUGAGCCCCAAUCCACAGCUGGAUGGCCGCGUCGCCCUCCCUCACCACCGUGAGCCCCAAUCCACAGCUGGAUGGCCGCGUCGCCCUCCCUCACCACCGUGAGCCCCAAUCCACAGCUGGAUGGCCGCGUCGCCCUCCCUCACCACCGUGAGCCCCAAUCCACAGCUGGAUGGCCGCGUCGCCCUCCCUCACCACCGUGAGCCCCAAUCCACAGCUGGAUGGCCGCGCUGCCCUCCCUCACCACCGUGAGCCCCAAUCCACAGCUGGAUGGCCACGUCGCCCUCCCUCACCACCGUGAGCCCCAAUCCACAGCUGGAUGGCCGCGUCGCCCUCCCUCACCACCGUGAGCCCCAAUCCACAGCUGGAUGGCCGCGUCGCCCUCCCUCACCACCGUGAGCCCCAAUCCACAGCUGGAUGGCCGCGUCGCCCUCCCUCACCACCGUGAGCCCCAAUCCACAGCUGGAUGGCCGCGUCGCCCUCCCUCACCACCGUGAGCCCCAAUCCACAGCUGGAUGGCCGCGCUGCCCUCCCUCACCACCGUGAGCCCCAAUCCACAGCUGGAUGGCCACGUCGCCCUCCCUCACCACCGUGAGCCCCAAUCCACAGCUGGAUGGCCGGAUGCCCUGUCUAUGGUUCUACAUUGUGCCACCUGGGGCUGGGUGCGUGUGACCUGUAGCAUCAGCUCUGGCACAGCAUGAGGGGCUGAGCAGGACCCAAGGGUAGCCUGGUCAGUUGGCUCUGACAGCUGGGUACCCCAUGGGAGGCAGGAGCUGGUACCCAUGUCCUCGGGAGCAGAGCCUACAUCCAGUGCAAGGGAUUUUGGCUCCAAGCGCUGGGUCCUGGCAGAGGUUUCAGCAUCCUUAGCUGAGUAUCCUGUUUCCUCCUGCUCCUCCUGGCCAGCCUGGACCUCUUUCCCCUCCGGCGUCCCCUGCACAGACAAACCACAUCAGGCUAGGGGAACAGCUGGUUCAGUGUGGGGCACUAGGCAGCCUGUGGGCCAAAUCUGGACUGCCAGAUGCUUGUGAACAGACCAUCACAUCUUUUUAUGUACUUA